Molecule: non-coding RNA, 71 nt
Organism: Potamilus streckersoni
Lineage: Eukaryota; Metazoa; Mollusca; Bivalvia; Unionida; Unionidae
Source: the annotation of a GenBank genome assembly
UCUGGUGGCCUAGUGGUUAGAGCGUCAGCCUCUGAUGCUGGGGGUCGCAGAUUCGAACAUGGCCGAGUCAU